GUGGGGAAUCUUGCGCAAUGGGCGAAAGCCUGACGCAGCCAUGCCGCGUGAAUGAUGAAGGUCUUAGGAUUGUAAAAUUCUUUCACCGGGGACGAUAAUGACGGUACCCGGAGAAGAAGCUCCGGCUAACUUCGUGCCAGCAGCCGCGGUAAUACGAAGGGGGCUAGCGUUGCUCGGAAUUACUGGGCGUAAAGGGCGCGUAGGCGGACAGCUUAGUCAGAGGUGAAAGCCCAGGGCUCAACCUUGGAAUUGCCUUUGAUACUGGCUGUGUUGAGUUUGGGAGAGGUGAGUGGAACUCCGAGUGUAGAGGUGAAAUUCGUAGAUAUUCGGAAGAACACCAGUGGCGAAGGCGACUCACUGGCCCAAUACUGACGCUGAGGCGCGAAAGCGUGGGGAGCAAACAGGAUUAGAAACCCGAGUAGUCC
This 425-nucleotide ribosomal RNA is filed under the name uncultured bacterium. Its description in RNAcentral is "partial 16S ribosomal RNA". It matches the Rfam family "Bacterial small subunit ribosomal RNA", at positions 354 to 796 of the family's 1533-position model. The record is from RNAcentral.